This 435-nucleotide small RNA is filed under the name Siphonodictyon sp. QM G333352. RNAcentral's name for it is "partial large subunit ribosomal RNA". Lineage: Eukaryota; Metazoa; Porifera; Demospongiae; Haplosclerida; Phloeodictyidae. The record is from RNAcentral.
CCAAGAGAGCGCGAAACCGUUAGGAGGGAAGUGCAGGGCAGCGAGCGGAAGGCCCUCGGCGAAAUUCAGCCGUCUUGUCGGCUUCCGAAAGGUUGGGAGUCGGCGGCGGUGCACUUUUCGCCGGGGCACGUCAGUGGCGAUCGCUUCCGUCCCUCGAAGCGGUGGAGGGAUGCCUCCUCGGAGGCCAGGUGGCCGGGACGUCCGUUCGGUCGUCUCGGAGCGUACACUCCGUCGCCGGGGGCGCGGAGGCGAUCGAGGAGUGGGUUCGUUCCGUAGGCGUCCAUUCGCCUGGAACAAAGGCAGGUGCGGGCCAGAGUGUCUGGCCGGACGGCCCGUGACGUCCGACGAGGCCGCGCGAGUGCUGCCCCGUCCUCGCGGCGGGCGGCUUGCGCGUCGGCGUCGGCGUUCGGUGUCCGUCUCGCCCGCGCCUAGGUG